RNAcentral lists this ribosomal RNA (766 nucleotides) under uncultured bacterium. Its description in RNAcentral is "bacterial SSU rRNA". It matches the Rfam family "Bacterial small subunit ribosomal RNA", at positions 62 to 808 of the family's 1533-position model. The record is from RNAcentral.
UCGAACGCGAAAGUGGAGCAUCCAUGAGUAGAGUGGCAAACGGGUGAGUAACACGUGGGUGACCUGCCUUCGAGCGGGGGAUAACGUCCCGAAAGGGACGCUAAUACCGCAUAACAUCCUGCCUUUUAAGAGGUGGAGAUCAAAGCCGGGGAUCGCAAGACCUGGCACUUGAAGAGGGGCCCGCGCCUGAUUGGCUAGUUGGUGGGGUAAUGGCUCACCAAGGCAACGAUCAGUAUCCGGCCUGAGAGGGCGGACGGACACACUGGGACUGAGACACGGCCCAGACUCCUACGGGAGGCAGCAGUGGGGAAUUGUUCGCAAUGGGCGCAAGCCUGACGACGCAACGCCGCGUGGAGGAUGAAGACCUUCGGGUCGUAAACUCCUUUCGAUCGAGACGAAUGGUUUCCGGGUAAACAAUCCGGAGAAGUGACGGUACCGAGAGAAGAAGCCCCGGCUAACUCCGUGCCAGCAGCCGCGGUAAUACGGGGGGGGCAAGCGUUGUUCGGAAUUACUGGGCGUAAAGGGCUCGUAGGUGGCCAACUAAGUCAGACGUGAAAUCCCUCAGCUUAACUGGGGAACUGCGUCUGAUACUGGAUGGCUUGAGUUUGGGAGAGGGAUGCGGAAUUCCAGGUGUAGCGGUGAAAUGCGUAGAUAUCUGGAGGAACACCGGUGGCGAAGGCGGCAUCCUGGACCAAUACUGACACUGAGGAGCGAAAGCCAGGGGAGCAAACGGGAUUAGAUACCCCGGUAGUCCUGGCCCUAAACG